AGAGUUUGAUCCUGGCUCAGACUGAACGCUGGCGGCAUGGCUAAAGCAUGCAAGUCGAACGAGCCCGCAAGGGCAAGUGGCGGACGGGUUAGUAAUACGAUCGAACGUACCCCGAAGUGGGGGAUAGCGGCGGGAAACUGCCGGUAAUACCCCAUGUGCUCUUCGGAGGGAAGAUUUAUCGCUUUGGGAUCGGCGAUCGUCCUAUCAGCUAGUUGGCGGGGUAAAGGCCCACCAAGGCGAAGACGGGUAGCAGGUGUGAGAGCACGACCUGCAACAUCGGAACUGAGAUACUGUCCGGACUCCUACGGGAGGCUGCAGCAACGAAUCUUCCGCAAUGGGCGCAAGCCUGACGGAGCAAUGCCGCGUGUGGGAUGAAGUGCCUCCGGCAUGUAAACCACUGUCAGAAGAUAGAAACACUGAUCAUCUUCAAAGGAAGUGGCGACUAACUCUGUGCCAGCAGUCGCGGUAAUACAGAGGCCACGAGCGUUAGUCGGAAUUACUGGGCUUAAAGGGUGCGUAGGCGGUUAUUCAAGCGUCCUGUGAAAGCCUCCCGCUCAACGGGAGAACAGCAGGGCGAACUGGGUGACUCGAGGUUGGUAGGGGCUCACAGAACAGUCGGUGGACCGGUGAAAUGGGUAGAGAUCGACUGGAAUGCCGAUGGCGAAGGCGGUGAGCUGGGCCAAACCUGACGCUGAGGCACGAAAGCGUGGGGAGCAAACAGGAUUAGAUACCCCGGUAGUCC
This 742-nucleotide ribosomal RNA is filed under the name uncultured bacterium. RNAcentral's name for it is "bacterial SSU rRNA". It matches the Rfam family "Bacterial small subunit ribosomal RNA", at positions 8 to 796 of the family's 1533-position model. The record is from RNAcentral.